Molecule: ribosomal RNA, 203 nt
Filed under: Escherichia coli
Lineage: Bacteria; Pseudomonadati; Pseudomonadota; Gammaproteobacteria; Enterobacterales; Enterobacteriaceae
Description: partial 23S ribosomal RNA
Rfam family: Bacterial large subunit ribosomal RNA
Source: RNAcentral
CUGAAUCAGUGUGUGUGUUAGUGGAAGCGUCUGGAAAGGCGCGCGAUACAGGGUGACAGCCCCGUACACAAAAAUGCACAUAUUGUGAGCUCGAUGAGUAGGGCGGGACACGUGGUAUCCUGUCUGAAUAUGGGGGGACCAUCCUCCAAGGCUAAAUACUCCUGACUGACCGAUAGUGAACCAGUACCGUGAGGGAAAGGCGA